ACUCGGUCUAGAUAUACUAUGUCUAUGCCGGUUACCAUAGAUUUCUAUAUAUAUUACCUGUGCUGGUUACAGUCGGCCAUAAUGCGGCAAGGAAUGGCAAGGAAAUCAUACGGAACAGCAGCAAGGAGGAUUAAAUUAUACAUUACGGCAAGAGAAUUAUAUGAUGCGUGUCGAUAUAAUUGCAGCAAACCAGGAUACAUAGGAAUACUAUAAAAGGAUCUGCACAAAUAAAAUGAUUGCAGAGGUUUAAUGAAGAGUAAACAAAAAAAAAAUGAGACAAAUAUAUACUGCACAUAGUUCUCUAAUGGUAGUUCCCCAAUUUCGAUAAAACAUUUAAUAAGGGUUAUAAUUUAAAGUUAACAAAAAUUGCUUAUAAAAAAACGUAAAAGGGGAGAGUACUCUAGUCUAAUAAAUAAAAUAAAUAAGCCUUAAACUCAAGUAUGAAAAAUUGAUAACUGCAAUGGCAGUAAUAAAAUGCACAUGUAAAGGAUACGGCACAUUUAUUAUCUGUAAUGGUUCUUUCAUUCUGUUUUCUUUUCUUCCUUUUUCUUAAGCAAUGUUUCAUAAAUUGACAAUGUUCAUUAUGCAUAUCAGCAUUACAAAACUACGAAUGAUUAUGGAUUGGUAAAAUACGAAACUUGUAAACGAUUGUAUCCAGCGAAAUACGAAUUUUCUGGUACAUAUCAUUUUAGUAUAAACAAUUUUAGUAUCUUUAUAUGCAUCGGAAAAUAUAUGAUAAUACAUAUAUUUUUUGAAAUAACAUAAAUGCCAUAUGUGUAAAUUUAAAAUUAUUUGUAUCAAUAAAGUAACAACUAAAGUUUACAUGCUAUGUCAUCAAUUGCAACGAGUUUUGUUAAAAAAAUUAUUUUCUUUAUUUAGAUUUUUAACGUUAUUUCCUCAUAGAAUCACGCAUAUUAUUCACAAUACAUUGCGCGAAAUUCCGAUUGGGUCAGUAAUUGGUUUCGAUUCGACAACGAUGAGAUUAUGCGGAAACGCGAGUUUCCAAAAAAUAAUACAAUUCUCGUGAUAGAGUUGCAUAUGUGUGUGUGUGUGUGUGUGUGUGUGUAUGUCAAGUAUACAUAAAACUAUAUUAAUAUACUUUAAAAAUAUCGUAUAUAUAUAUAUAUAUCUACCCAUAUUUACCUACAACAUAUUUUCCUUCAUACGUAUAUACAUACAUAUACAUAUAUUACGCGUUGCUUUUUUUUAUUGUUGCAAUCAAUCAUAUGUAUAUAUAUACCGCAAGUAUACAUAAAUCUUCAAGGCACUCCUGAUGUAUAUUACAUUCAUAUUUUACAAGUGUUGUGUUUGUCCAGCAUUUGAUGAACGGGGCAUUUUGACGAGAGACGCAAAACAGAAAUUAUUUUACUAAAUUUAAAAGCGAUAAUUUUAAAAUAUCGCCCUGUGUACGCGCAUUUAUACAACAAACGAAAAAGCGAUGCAGACAUUAUGGAAAUUGGAGAAAUGCAUCUUUUUUUUCUUUUUUUCUCUUUCUUUUUUUUAUAC
Molecule: long non-coding RNA, 1506 nt
Organism: Formica exsecta
Lineage: Eukaryota; Metazoa; Arthropoda; Insecta; Hymenoptera; Formicidae
Exons: 4
Source: RefSeq, a predicted model, not a curated record